RNAcentral lists this long non-coding RNA (809 nucleotides) under Homo sapiens (human). RNAcentral's name for it is "non-protein coding LINC01611:5". Lineage: Eukaryota; Metazoa; Chordata; Mammalia; Primates; Hominidae. The record is from RNAcentral.
AAGCCUGGCAAUGGCGGGCGCCCCUCCCCCAGCCUCGCUGCCACCUUGCAGUUUGAUCUCAGAUUGCUGUGCUAACAAUCAGCCAGACUCCUUGGGCGUAGGACCCUCCGAGCCAGGUGUGGGAUAUAAUCUCGUGGUGCGCCAUUUUUUAAGCUGGUCAGAAAAGCGCAGUAUUCAGGUGGGAGUGGCCCGAUUUUCCAGGUGCGUCGGUCACCCGUUUCUUUGACUCGGAAAGGGAACUCCCUGACCCCUUGCGCUUCCCAAGUGAGGCAAUGCCUCUCCCUGCUUCGGCUCGCGCAUGGUGCGCGCACCCACUGACCUGCGCCCACUGUCUGGCACUCCCAAGUGAGAUGAACCCGGUACCUCAGAUGGAAAUGCAGAAAUCACCCGUCUUCUGCAUCGCUCACGCUGGGAGCUGUAGACAGGAGCUGUUCCUAUUCGGCCAUCUUGGCUCCUCUCGAUAAUUGCUUUCAUGUGAACCCUUCAUAAGGUAAAAUCAAAUCCCUAUUAGGAUAAAUGAUUGAGUGUUCCUGUAAAGAAUUGUUCCCCUGGUUCAAGCAACCAGAUUUCAUUCCCAGAUGAUCAAAAAUGGACUUGAUGAAAUGGAAAAGCACUGAUAGAAACAGUUCCACUGCUCAAAAUUACUCCUGAAGGGAUGAGGACACCAGGAUAUGCCACCGGACCACUGAAGAGAUUGCUGUUUUCUGCCCCAGGCCUGUGCCAUGAGGGACACUUUCUCAGGACUCUUGCCAAUCUUUUCUGAGAGUACCUGGUGAGCUCUGUUGUGAAUUGCCUGUAAGUAGAUAAAA